GACGAAGGUGGCGAGCGUUGUUCGGAAUCACUGGGCAUAAAGCGCACGUAGGCGGUGCCGUAAGUCGGAUGUGAAAUUCCUCGGCCUAACCGAGGAACUGCGUCCGAUACUGCGGUGCUUGAGGAUCAGAGGGGUGCAUGGAAUUUCCGGUGGAGCGGUGAAAUGCGUUGAUAUCGGAAGGAACUCCGGCGGCGAAAGCGAUGCACUGGCUGAUUUCUGACGCUGAGGUGCGAAAGCCAGGGGAGCAAACGGG
Molecule: ribosomal RNA, 253 nt
Filed under: uncultured bacterium
Lineage: Bacteria
Description: partial 16S ribosomal RNA
Rfam family: Bacterial small subunit ribosomal RNA
Source: RNAcentral